Molecule: long non-coding RNA, 579 nt
Organism: Patiria miniata (bat star)
Lineage: Eukaryota; Metazoa; Echinodermata; Asteroidea; Valvatida; Asterinidae
Exons: 4
Source: RefSeq, a predicted model, not a curated record
AACAACUUGCGUCCCAGAAAUAGGUGUGAAAACUGGGUUACCGAGCAAUAUUAUAUAGGUCUAGUUAUCGGCUAUACGCCCAUAGCGCUUCAACAGACCGACACGUAUAUGAUUAUAUUAAACCCUACCGACGGAGCCAGUCUGUGAGUUUCUCACACCACAAUUAGCAAGGUGUAACUGUAAUGCGGUUAGACGACUGAUUAUCCAACUUGGAUCUUGGAUGCUUACAGACGCUGGCUUCAUGAACUUGGACUCCAAAAAAAUGAGCAGAAAUUGGGCGGACCAGAAAUGAAUCACACAUAGGACAACAUUGGACUGUAGUAAGGCCGAGACGCAGAAUUAUCCAGAUGGGUGCCCAUUUUAUUUGGAUUGUUUUCAUGGUAACGUCCGGUUGGUUGAGGGACAGUCAAGCUGAUUUUUGUACCCCAUCAUCAGUUUCGACUUACGAUUGCGUCUUUCCAGACGGAUUUGAGAAACAGGCUCGCUUUGAUUCAUGCAACCGAACCAAUACGUGUCUCAACCCAUUAUUGCCUACUGUGGCAACCGGGGAAUGCAACGGCGUAACGACACAGAUAUGCU